Molecule: ribosomal RNA, 253 nt
Filed under: uncultured bacterium
Lineage: Bacteria
Description: partial 16S ribosomal RNA
Rfam family: Bacterial small subunit ribosomal RNA
Source: RNAcentral
UACAGAGGAUGCAAGCGUUAUCCGGAAUGAUUGGGCGUAAAGCGUCUGUAGGUGGCUUUUUAAGUCCGCCGUCAAAUCCCAGGGCUCAACUCUGGACAGGCGGUGGAAACUACCAAGCUGGAGUACGGUAGGGGCAGAGGGAAUUUCCGGUGGAGCGGUGAAAUGCGUAGAGAUCGGAAAGAACACCAACGGCGAAAGCGCUCUGCUAGGCCAAGACUGACACUGAGGGACGAAAGCUAGGGGAGCGAAUGGG